Molecule: small RNA, 443 nt
Filed under: Histoplasma capsulatum
Lineage: Eukaryota; Fungi; Ascomycota; Eurotiomycetes; Onygenales; Ajellomycetaceae
Also listed under: 1 other name
Description: hypothetical RNA
Source: RNAcentral
GGACAAUGCGUUUCAAGGAUAUAAUAACUGUAUUUUUGCGUACGGCCAAACUGGAUCUGGCAAGUCGUAUUCCAUGAUGGGGUACGGCGAAGAAGCGGGCGUUAUCCCCAAGAUCUGCAAGGAUAUGUUCUUGAGGAUCGCUGCGCUUCAGUCCGCGGAUAAAAAUCUUACGUGUACGGUGGAGGUGUCGUAUCUCGAGAUUUACAACGAGAGGGUCAGGGAUUUGCUUAACCCCACAACCAAGGGCAACCUUAAAGUUCGAGAGCAUCCUUCAACGGGGCCCUACGUUGAAGAUUUGGCGAAGCUGGUGGUUCGCUCUUUCCAGGAAAUCGAGAACUUGAUGGACGAGGGUAACAAGGCGCGAACCGUCGCGGCCACAAAUAUGAACGAGACGUCCAGUCGAUCACACGCCGUUUUUACCCUUACAGUGACACAAAAGCGCC